CAAAAAAUAGUUUAAGUUUAAAAUACAAGUUUUGGGGACUUGUGUUGGGGGUACUUCCUCUUUUUUGA
RNAcentral lists this transfer RNA (68 nucleotides) under Uroplatus fimbriatus (common flat-tail gecko). Its description in RNAcentral is "tRNA-Pro". It matches the Rfam family "tRNA". Rfam says of the family: Transfer RNA (tRNA) molecules are approximately 80 nucleotides in length. Lineage: Eukaryota; Metazoa; Chordata; Lepidosauria; Squamata; Gekkonidae. The record is from RNAcentral.